RNAcentral lists this long non-coding RNA (312 nucleotides) under Musa acuminata (dwarf banana). Its description in RNAcentral is "long non-coding RNA (MACU_LNC004705)". Lineage: Eukaryota; Viridiplantae; Streptophyta; Magnoliopsida; Zingiberales; Musaceae. The record is from RNAcentral.
GGGAAUAUGAUAGGGGUAAAAACAAAUAGGACACGAAACACUGGAUUUGACGUGACACCGCCCGACGCCAGCCACCCCUGGACGGCACACUGCCCCAAGGGACGAGCAUUAACACCAACGUAACGUGCACCCUCGCUCACGGUACCCCGACGACCUCAUCAUCUGACCCCGCACGAUCGGACGAGGCAGGGCAGGGCGUCGACCAAGGCUCGCCAUACCCUGCGGCGACCCGCCCUUCCACGCAAGGCCCACGACGACAACGGGCGCGAUCAGGUGCACGACCCUGCCGCGGCAGGAUGGCGCAUCAGGUAA